UGUGGCCUACGGGACGCAGCAGUAGGGAAUCUUCCACAAUGGGCGAAAGCCUGAUGGAGCAACGCCGCGUGGGUGAAGAAGGUCUUCGGAUCGUAACAUCCUGUUGUUAGAGAAGAAAGUGCGUGAGAGUAACUGUUCACGUUUCGACGGUAUCUAACCAGAAAGCCACGGCUAACUACGUGCCAGCAGCCGCGGUAUUACGUAGGUGUCAAGCGUUAUCCGGAUUUAUUGGGCGUAAAGUGAACGCAGGCGGCCUUUUAAGUCUGAUGUGAAAGCCUUCGGCUU
This 285-nucleotide ribosomal RNA is filed under the name uncultured bacterium. RNAcentral's name for it is "partial 16S ribosomal RNA". It matches the Rfam family "Bacterial small subunit ribosomal RNA", at positions 333 to 610 of the family's 1533-position model. The record is from RNAcentral.